AUGUCCAGGCCUGGACGAUGUGAAGGCAUCGUCCAUAGCUCAACCGCAGCCACUUUUUCUCCCUCCCGCCAACUCCGUCGCCCUUUCUCCCGCCAAGUCGCUUGCUCUGGAGACAAAGAGGACGCCGCCGCGAGGUCGUCGUCGCGCCACACCACAACAUCCCGAGGCGAGAUGGAAGGAGACGAGCGUUUUCUCGACAUGUUGAACUUCGGUGUAUCACCACAAGUGCCAGAUAGUCCAGUUGGGGAGCAAGAGAUGCCACCAACUCAAGAAGUGUCUGCAUCUGCCAAAGCAAAAUCCACUAAAGGAAAGAAUUGGUCUAGUCAAGAGGAUGAAUUGUUGGUGGCAGCAUGGUUGCACACCAGUCUGGAUGCUGUGAUAGGGACAGAUCAAUCAUCAAAUUCUUAUUGGGGUAGGAUUUAUGAUUACUACAGCACGCGCAAGAAAGUGUCAUGGCCGGUGCGUGUUCAAAAUGCAAUCACUUGUCGUUGGAGCACUAUUAAUGAACAAGUCAGCAAGUUUUGUGGAUACUAUCAGCAAAUUCUUAAUAGAAACCAAAGUGGGGUAACUAUCGCUCAGCAGCAAGCCCAGGCACUUGUUUUAUACAAGUCCAAAGAUCCUAAAAACAGGCCAUUUGCAUUAAUGCAUUGCUGGUUAGAGUUGCAAAAGCAUCCGAAGUGGGAGAAUCGUGUGGUUUCGAAGGGGCCUCCGAAAAAGCAGAAGAAGACCUCGGAUGCAAGUCCAGGUACAACUUCUAAUGAUGAAGACUUCGGAUCCACUGAUGCUCUUGAUACAGAGAUAAGGCCUGAUGGUAAUAAGCGAGAUAAAGAACGUUUACGGAAAGUUAAAGCUUCUGCUUCCGAUGCUCUUGCUCCCAAGUUAUCAUUAGAAACUGUGUGGGCACAAAAGCUAGAGAAGGCCGAGGCGAAAGAGGCCGCGAAGAAUGCUCGUUAUGAGCGAGCAUUUGAAUUGCAGGAGAAGCAAAUUGCAUUGCAGGAGAGGCAGAUGGCAAACCAGGAGAGGGAGAGACAGAUGGCAAACCAAGAGAGGGAGAGGCAAAUGACAAUCAAGGAGAGGGAGAUGGCACAGAAACAGUUUGAGUUAGAAGAGAAGAUCAUGUCCAUGGACACUAGUACUAUGAGUGGGGCACAACAACAAUUCUACAUCAACAAGCAGAAUGAGAUUGCCGCUCGCCGAUAG
RNAcentral lists this ribosomal RNA (1200 nucleotides) under Triticum aestivum (bread wheat). RNAcentral describes it as "partial small subunit ribosomal RNA". Lineage: Eukaryota; Viridiplantae; Streptophyta; Magnoliopsida; Poales; Poaceae. The record is from RNAcentral.